This 497-nucleotide ribosomal RNA is filed under the name uncultured bacterium. RNAcentral describes it as "partial 16S ribosomal RNA". It matches the Rfam family "Bacterial small subunit ribosomal RNA", at positions 28 to 507 of the family's 1533-position model. The record is from RNAcentral.
GAUGAACGCUGGCGGCGUGCCUAAUACAUGCAAGUCGAGCGAACAGACGAGGAGCUUGCUCCUCUGACGUUAGCGGCGGACGGGUGAGUAACACGUGGAUAACCUACCUAUAAGACUGGGAUAACUUCGGGAAACCGGAGCUAAUACCGGAUAAUAUAUUGAACCGCAUGGUUCAAUAGUGAAAGACGGUUUUGCUGUCCCUUAUAGAUGGAUCCGCGCCGCAUUAGCUAGUUGGUAAGGUAACGGCUUACCAAGGCAACGAUGCGUAGCCGACCUGAGAGGGUGAUCGGCCACACUGGAACUGAGACACGGUCCAGACUCCUACGGGAGGCAGCAGUAGGGAAUCUUCCACAAUGGGCGAAAGCUUGACGGAGCAACGCCGCGUGAGUGAUGAAGGUCUUCGGAUCGUAAAACUCUGUUAUUAGGGAAGAACAAAUGUGUAAGUAACUAUGCACGUCUUGACGGUACCUAAUCAGAAAGCCACGGCUAACUACGUG